RNAcentral lists this ribosomal RNA (253 nucleotides) under uncultured bacterium. RNAcentral's name for it is "partial 16S ribosomal RNA". It matches the Rfam family "Bacterial small subunit ribosomal RNA", at positions 524 to 776 of the family's 1533-position model. The record is from RNAcentral.
UACGAAGGUCCCGAGCGUUAUCCGGAUUCAUUGGGUUUAAAGGGUGCGUAGGCGGAUCGAUAAGUCAGUGGUGAAAGCCUGAUGCUUAACAUCAGAACUGCCAUUGAUACUGUCGAUCUUGAGUCUAGUUGAAGUGGGCGGAAUGUGUCAUGUAGCGGUGAAAUGCUUAGAUAUGACACAGAACACCGAUUGCGAAGGCAGCUCACUAAGCUAGUACUGACGCUGAGGCACGAAAGCGUGGGGAUCAAACAGG